UUAAAUUGAAGAGUUUGAUCAUGGCUCAGAUUGAACGCUGGCGGCAGGCCUAACACAUGCAAGUCGAACGGUAACAGGAAGCAGCUUGCUGCUUUGCUGACGAGUGGCGGACGGGUGAGUAAUGUCUGGGAAACUGCCUGAUGGAGGGGGAUAACUACUGGAAACGGUAGCUAAUACCGCAUAACGUCGCAAGACCAAAGAGGGGGACCUUCGGGCCUCUUGCCAUCGGAUGUGCCCAGAUGGGAUUAGCUAGUAGGUGGGGUAAAGGCUCACCUAGGCGACGAUCCCUAGCUGG
RNAcentral lists this ribosomal RNA (295 nucleotides) under Escherichia coli. Its description in RNAcentral is "partial 16S ribosomal RNA". It matches the Rfam family "Bacterial small subunit ribosomal RNA", at positions 1 to 290 of the family's 1533-position model. Lineage: Bacteria; Pseudomonadati; Pseudomonadota; Gammaproteobacteria; Enterobacterales; Enterobacteriaceae. The record is from RNAcentral.